AGAAUCAACGCUGGCGGCGUGCCUAACACAUGCAAGUCGCACGAGAAAGGGACUUCGGUCUUGAGUAAAGUGGCGCACGGGUGAGUAACACGUGACUAAUCUACCCUCGAGUGGGGAAUAACUGAGAGAAAUCUUAGCUAAUACCGCAUAACACUUACGAGUCAAAGCAGCAAUGCGCUUGGGGAGGAGGUCGCUGCCGAUUAGCUAGUUGGCGGGGUAAUGGCCCACCAAGGCGAUGAUCGGUAUCCGGCCUGAGAGGGCGCACGGACACACUGGAACUGAAACACGGUCCAGACUCCUACGGGAGGCAGCAGUGGGGAAUUUUGCGCAAUGGGGGAAACCCUGACGCAGCAACGCCGCGUGGAGGAUGAAGUAUCUUGGUACGUAAACUCCUUUCGAUGGGGAAGAUAAUGACGGUACCCAUAGAAGAAGCCCCGGCUAACUUCGUGCCAGCAGCCGC
This 460-nucleotide ribosomal RNA is filed under the name uncultured bacterium. RNAcentral describes it as "SSU rRNA". It matches the Rfam family "Bacterial small subunit ribosomal RNA", at positions 26 to 518 of the family's 1533-position model. The record is from RNAcentral.